Acanthochromis polyacanthus (spiny chromis) is the source of this 487-nucleotide long non-coding RNA. RefSeq lists it as uncharacterized. Lineage: Eukaryota; Metazoa; Chordata; Actinopteri; Pomacentridae. The transcript is spliced from 3 exons. The record is from RefSeq and is a predicted model, not a curated record.
CAUCAGUCAAGUUGGAGACGUUCAGACGUGGAGCAUUCAGUGAACGGAGGCAGAAUGAUCCACGUGGACGAGCUGCUGCUGUCAUGAUGGAUCAGAGGUCUGGUUCUGGUCCAAUCAGAGCUGCUGCUGUCAUGAUGGAUCGGAGGUCUGGUUCUGGUCCAAUCAGAGCUGCUGCUGUCAUGAUGGAUCAGAGGUCUGGUUCUGGUCCAAUCAGAGCUGCUGCUGCCAUGAUGGAUCAGAGGUCUGGUUCUGGUCCAAUCAGAGCUGCUGCUGCCAUGAUGGAUCAGAGGUCUGGUUCUGGUCCAAUCAGAGCUGCUGCUGUCAUGAUGGAUCAGAGGUCUGGUUCUGAUCCAAUCAGAGCUGCUGCUGGACCUUUGAGGACUAAACUGGAUUUAUCUUCAUGAUGUGAUCAAACCCAGUAAAAUGUGUUUCAUUAAACUCUCUCUGGGCUCCAAGGCUUCAGCUGACAUGUUUCCAGGACACUUUG